RNAcentral lists this unclassified non-coding RNA (351 nucleotides) under soil metagenome. Its description in RNAcentral is "partial contains 5.8S ribosomal RNA, internal transcribed spacer 2, and large subunit ribosomal RNA". The stretch from base 1 to 120 matches the Rfam family "5.8S ribosomal RNA", at positions 35 to 154 of the family's 154-position model. The record is from RNAcentral.
GAUGAAGAACGCAGCGAAAUCCGAUAAGUAAUGUGAAUUGCAGAAUUCAGUGAAUCAUCGAAUCUUUGAACGCACAUUGCGCCCGCCAGUAUUCUGGCGGGCAUGCCUGUCUGAGCGUCAUUUCAACCCUCAGCCCCCGUCCGCGGGGCGCUGGCGUUGGGGAUCGGCCGUCCUUGCGGCGGCCGGCCCCGAAACACAGUGGCGGUCUCCCGUAGACUCCCCUGCGUAGUAACACUACCUCGCAGAAGGGACGAGCGGGCUGGCCACGCCGUUAAACCCCCCACUUCUCAAGGUUGACCUCAGAUCAGGUAGGAAUACCCGCUGAACUUAAGCAUAUCAAUAAGCGGAGGA